GGGCCUGUAGCUCAGUUGGUAGAGCACCGCGUUUACACCGCGGUGGUCGUCGGUUCGAGCCCGGCCGGGCCUACCA
This 76-nucleotide transfer RNA is filed under the name Actinomycetota bacterium. Its description in RNAcentral is "tRNA-Val". It matches the Rfam family "tRNA". From Rfam's summary of the family: Transfer RNA (tRNA) molecules are approximately 80 nucleotides in length. Their secondary structure includes four short double-helical elements and three loops (D, anti-codon, and T loops). Further hydrogen bonds mediate the characteristic L-shaped molecular structure. tRNAs have two regions of fundamental functional importance: the anti-codon, which is responsible for specific mRNA codon recognition, and the 3' end, to which the tRNAs corresponding amino acid is attached (by aminoacyl-tRNA synthetases). tRNAs cope with the degeneracy of the genetic code in two manners: having more than one tRNA (with a specific anti-codon) for a particular amino acid; and 'wobble' base-pairing, i.e. permitting non-standard base-pairing at the 3rd anti-codon position. Lineage: Bacteria; Bacillati; Actinomycetota. The record is from RNAcentral. RNAcentral also lists the same sequence under 1 other name.